This 506-nucleotide ribosomal RNA is filed under the name uncultured bacterium. RNAcentral describes it as "partial 16S ribosomal RNA". It matches the Rfam family "Bacterial small subunit ribosomal RNA", at positions 30 to 523 of the family's 1533-position model. The record is from RNAcentral.
AUUGAACGCUGGCGGCAUGCCUUACACAUGCAAGUCGAACGGCAGCAUGGAAGAGCUUGCUCUUCUGAUGGCGAGUGGCGAACGGGUGAGUAAAGCAUCGGAACGUACCGUGUAAUGGGGGAUAACGUAGCGAAAGUUACGCUAAUACCGCAUACGACCUGAGGGUGAAAGCAGGGGAUCGCAUGACCUCGCGUUAUACGAGCGGCCGAUGUCAGAUUAGCUAGUUGGUAGGGUAAAGGCCUACCAAGGCGACGAUCUGUAGCGGGUCUGAGAGGAUGAUCCGCCACACUGGGACUGAGACACGGCCCAGACUCCUACGGGAGGCAGCAGUGGGGAAUUUUGGACAAUGGGGGAAACCCUGAUCCAGCCAUGCCGCGUGAGUGAAGAAGGCCUUCGGGUUGUAAAGCUCUUUCGGCCGGGAAGAAAUCGCACAGGCUAAUACUCUGUGUGGAUGACGGUACCGGCAUAAGAAGCACCGGCUAACUACGUGCCAGCCGCCGCCGUAA